UCCCUCCUGGCUCAGAUGGUAAAGAUUCUACCUUCAAUGCAGAAGACCUGGGUUCAAUUCCUGGGUUGGGAA
Molecule: transfer RNA, 72 nt
Filed under: Bos taurus (domestic cattle)
Lineage: Eukaryota; Metazoa; Chordata; Mammalia; Artiodactyla; Bovidae
Also listed under: 4 other names
Rfam family: tRNA
About the family: Transfer RNA (tRNA) molecules are approximately 80 nucleotides in length.
Source: Rfam by way of RNAcentral